This 590-nucleotide ribosomal RNA is filed under the name uncultured Lachnospiraceae bacterium. RNAcentral describes it as "bacterial SSU rRNA". It matches the Rfam family "Bacterial small subunit ribosomal RNA", at positions 111 to 718 of the family's 1533-position model. The record is from RNAcentral. Lineage: Bacteria; Bacillati; Bacillota; Clostridia; Lachnospirales; Lachnospiraceae.
UAACGCGUGGGUAACCUGCCCUGUACAGGGGGAUAACAGUUGGAAACGGCUGCUAAUACCGCAUAAGCGACACGAGAGGACAUCCUCUUGUGUGAAAAACUCCGGUGGUACAGGAUGGGCCCGCGUCUGAUUAGCUGGUUGGCAGGGUAACGGCCUACCAAGGCGACGAUCAGUAGCCGGUCUGAGAGGAUGAACGGCCACAUUGGAACUGAGACACGGUCCAAACUCCUACGGGAGGCAGCAGUGGGGAAUAUUGCACAAUGGGGGAAACCCUGAUGCAGCAACGCCGCGUGAGUGAAGAAGUAUUUCGGUAUGUAAAGCUCUAUCAGCAGGGAAGAUAAUGACGGUACCUGACUAAGAAGCUCCGGCUAAAUACGUGCCAGCAGCCGCGGUAAUACGUAUGGAGCAAGCGUUAUCCGGAUUUACUGGGUGUAAAGGGUGCGUAGGUGGCAGUGCAAGUCAGAUGUGAAAGGCCGGGGCUCAACCCCGGAGCUGCAUUUGAAACUGCAUAGCUAGAGUACAGGAGAGGCAGGCGGAAUUCCUAGUGUAGCGGUGAAAUGCGUAGAUAUUAGGAGGAACACCAGUGGCGA